Molecule: ribosomal RNA, 497 nt
Filed under: uncultured bacterium
Lineage: Bacteria
Description: partial 16S ribosomal RNA
Rfam family: Bacterial small subunit ribosomal RNA
Source: RNAcentral
GAUGAACGCUGGCGGCGUGCCUAAUACAUGCAAGUCGAGCGAACAGACGAGGAGCUUGCUCCUCUGACGUUAGCGGCGGACGGGUGAGUAACACGUGGAUAACCUACCUAUAAGACUGGGAUAACUUCGGGAAACCGGAGCUAAUACCGGAUAAUAUAUUGAACCGCAUGGUUCAAUAGUGAAAGACGGUUUUGCUGUCACUUAUAGAUGGAUCCGCGCCGCAUUAGCUAGUUGGUAAGGUAACGGCUUACCAAGGCGACGAUGCGUAGCCGACCUGAGAGGGUGAUCGGCCACACUGGAACUGAGACACGGUCCAGACUCCGACGGGAGGCAGCAGUAGGGAAUCUUCCGCAAUGGGCGAAAGCCUGACGGAGCAACGCCGCGUGGGUGAUGAAGGUCUUCGGAUCGUAAAACUCUGUUAUUAGGGAAGAACAAAUGUGUAAGUAACUAUGCACGUCUUGACGGUACCUAAUCAGAAAGCCACGGCUAACUACGUG